GUGGAGUGUGGUGGCUGCCAGGGUGGUCCGUGGAGCGUGGUAGCUGACGUAGAAGUUGCAGCGCUUACCCUUUGAUUUGAUGAACGUUUAUCGUGUGAAGGGUUGUUAAGGAUCACAGAAUGUCAAGGAAGGAUGUUGGAUAAAGGUUUUGCUUCUGGAAUCAAUACUUUUAUAACUUUGGGAGGGCCUCAUCUUUUUCUUUCCAAACGAAAACUUUUGAAUUGCAUUGAGAUUGAGAGGUACUACUCAAAGACUACGUUCGAAAUACUAGCUAUAAAAUAAAGGAAGGAGUGGAUCAUGUGGGAGGGGUUGAAUUCCAUUUAUGGCAAGCAUGUAAGCUCCAUUUUCAAUUAAUGUGUCACAGUUGCACAUUUUAUAUAUGUUAA
Vigna unguiculata (cowpea) is the source of this 386-nucleotide long non-coding RNA. NCBI's taxonomy places the organism in Eukaryota, Viridiplantae, Streptophyta, Magnoliopsida, Fabales, Fabaceae. The record is from RefSeq and is a predicted model, not a curated record.